GGUAAAGUAGUUAAAUUAUUAUAAUAUUAGAUUGUCAUUCUAAAGUUACCUUGAGGUUUUUACUU
RNAcentral lists this transfer RNA (65 nucleotides) under Perna viridis (Asian green mussel). Its description in RNAcentral is "tRNA-Asp". The record is from RNAcentral. Lineage: Eukaryota; Metazoa; Mollusca; Bivalvia; Mytilida; Mytilidae.